Teleopsis dalmanni is the source of this 829-nucleotide long non-coding RNA. RefSeq lists it as uncharacterized. The record is from RefSeq and is a predicted model, not a curated record. The transcript has 3 exons. NCBI's taxonomy places the organism in Eukaryota, Metazoa, Arthropoda, Insecta, Diptera, Diopsidae.
UAAUCGUAAGACGGAAGGAAAGGAAAUAUCUUAUCAAACGUGUAAGGAACGGUCGAGUACGUUACGUGAAAUCGUUGACGUUUCGAAUGUAUAUAAAUCUGUAAGGUCGCUGUAAAAAUUAUCGAUAAAAAUAAUUGAGUUUGAGAAACAACAAAUUAACAUCGAAGACGUCGCUUAGAAUUAUUGAAAUCAGUUCUGGUCGUAUCUGUGAAUAAGAUUUGAUAAAAAUGGAUAAUUGCUAUAUGGUUUAUUCCCCAGUACUACGCAGUAUGAGAUCAAUGGAAAUUCUUUUGAUACCACUAAUCGGCACACUUUUGCAUAUAUGGCUUACUUGGAAAAUUGGAUAUGGAACCGAAAUACCAGCUGAAUGGUUCACUUCUACUGUUCUACUAGCAGCCAUGCUUUUUUUUCUUGACCGCCUUAAAAUAAAAUUUCGUAAUCCAAUAUCUGUUAAUGGUCAGAAGUUCGUAAACGUUCUGUUUCGCGUGCUCAUUAUAUAUUUAUCAGAAUUGAUUGUCAAUUACAUUUGGCUUCCUUUGGUACAAAAGUUCUACAAUUUCUGCAGCACCCACGAAGAAACCAGCUUAAUGCUGAGUAUCUUUUAUGAUAUUUGUUGUGGAAGUGACUUAGCAAUUGCAUUUACAGCGCUCGCAUUGUCGCUUAAGCUAACAGGGUCCUGGACUCUUUUUAGAUCAUUGCUACCUUAAAAUAAAAUAAUAAGGUGAGACAAAAAAGAAGCAAAGAAUAUCGCUUUUUAUCUAAAUUCCAAAAGGCUUCAAUGUAAACGUUUAAUACCUUCUUUCAAGUACUCCAGAAAUUGAUCUUUUAU